CUAACCUACCUUUAUCUGGGGGAUAGCCUUUCGAAAGGAAGAUUAAUACCCCAUAAUAUAAUGAAUGGCAUCAUUUAUUAUUGAAAACUCCGGUGGAUAGAGAUGGGCACGCGCAAGAUUAGAUAGUUGGUGAGGUAACGGCUCACCAAGUCAAUGAUCUUUAGGGGGCCUGAGAGGGUGAUCCCCACACUGGUACUGAGACACGGACCAGACUCCUACGGGAGGCAGCAGUGAGGAAUAUUGGACAAUGGGUGAGAGCCUGAUCCAGCCAUCCCGCGUGAAGGACGACUGCCCUAUGGGUUGUAAACUUCUUUUGUACAGGGAUAAACCAUUCUACGUGUAGAAUGCUGAAGGUACUGUACGAAUAAGCACCGGCUAACUCCGUG
RNAcentral lists this ribosomal RNA (386 nucleotides) under uncultured bacterium. RNAcentral's name for it is "bacterial SSU rRNA". It matches the Rfam family "Bacterial small subunit ribosomal RNA", at positions 121 to 507 of the family's 1533-position model. The record is from RNAcentral.